Molecule: ribosomal RNA, 301 nt
Filed under: uncultured bacterium
Lineage: Bacteria
Description: partial 16S ribosomal RNA
Rfam family: Bacterial small subunit ribosomal RNA
Source: RNAcentral
CAGUCGCCGCGGUAAUACAGAGGAUGCAGGCGUUAUCCGGAAUGAUUGGGCGUAAAGCGUCUGUAGGUGGCUUUUCAAGUCCGCUGUCAAAUCCCAGGGCUCAACCCUGGACAGGCGGUGGAAACUACCAAGCUAGAGUACGGUAGGGGCAGAGGGAAUUUCCAGUGGAGCGGUGAAAUGCGUUGAGAUCGGAAAGAACACCAACGGCGAAAGCACUCUGCUGGGCCGACACUGACACUGAGAGACGAAAGCUAGGGGAGCAAAUGGGAUUAGAUACCCGGGUAGUCCCUGUCUCUUAUAC